UUUGGCACUGUCACAUUUUUGU
RNAcentral lists this microRNA (22 nucleotides) under Parasteatoda tepidariorum (common house spider). RNAcentral describes it as "pte-miR-96-5p". Its record names the gene pte-miR-96-5p. Lineage: Eukaryota; Metazoa; Arthropoda; Arachnida; Araneae; Theridiidae. The record is from miRBase by way of RNAcentral.